Molecule: long non-coding RNA, 945 nt
Organism: Cucurbita moschata (crookneck pumpkin)
Lineage: Eukaryota; Viridiplantae; Streptophyta; Magnoliopsida; Cucurbitales; Cucurbitaceae
Exons: 2
Source: RefSeq, a predicted model, not a curated record
UUCACGUAAAAUCCAUUUGUUAGUUUGUUAAUUUUCUUCGUUUCAUUACAUUUUAUCUAGCUUUUAUUUACUUAUUUGGUUCAUAAAUCAAAUUACUGAACAAUCUGUUUGCAUAAUUACAGCUAUCUACAAGUUAGCCGACCCUAGGUAGCUUGUUGUUGAACUAACCCAAUUUCAACAAACACGGUCCAACUAUUUUUGUUGUUUCUGUUUUGAUCGUCUUUAUAGCUUAUAGUUGAAAAGUUAGAUUUGGUAGAUGUGGAAAAAGCACAUCCUUUGUAGUACACAACUGACCUUCAAAUCUGUGAGUUUACACGCAUACACAUAUAUAUAAGCCCAUAUGAAGAAUCAUUGCAUUCUCUCAUCUUAGCUCUCCAGAAUUGUUGAGGAGAAUGCAGUCUGGUCCGAGAGCAUCGUUUGAAUAGAUUGAUCUCGGACCAGGCUUCAUUCUCGCCAGCUCUUCGAUUAGCUCAGCAUGCUGUAUUACCUAGUUCAUAUACAACAAGUAAGUUCUCAUCUAUUUCUCAAGUGCUUUUGUUUGUUUUUCUUUUUAUUUGUUGGAAUUAUGCACCUCCACUGGGUCUGGAAAGAUGCAAGUCGAAGAAGGCAAAGCCGUACAUGGGAGAUUAGACCAGUUGGUGGCUCAGAAGACUAGCAACAACUCAUGGCUAAGGAGGGCGAACGACAAGAAGUGGUAGACGUUUUCAACUAUCUACAAUUCAAGAGAACGAGAGACGGUUAUGGCAAAGUAAGGCGAGUGACAAAAGUUACAGCGGAAAGGGAUGAAGAACAAAGGAUACACACGCGAGAGGAAAAAUAAAAUAACGAUGAAGUAGAUUUUGUAUUUAUUUUCUUAAAAUCCUUUCUUUACUUUAAGGUUAUUUAAGGUUAUGUUAAAGAUCGAAGCAUAAACAUGAACUAGAAAUUUUUAAGGUUCAAGAUAAA